Molecule: ribosomal RNA, 253 nt
Filed under: uncultured bacterium
Lineage: Bacteria
Description: partial 16S ribosomal RNA
Rfam family: Bacterial small subunit ribosomal RNA
Source: RNAcentral
UACGUAGGUGGCGAGCGUUGUCCGGAUUUACUGGGCGUAAAGCGCGCGCAGGCGGACUGAUCAGUCUGGGGUGAAAUCUCACGGCUCAACUGUGAGCGGUCCCUGGAUACUGUCAGCCUUGAGAUGUCUAGAGGAGAGUGGAAUUCCCGGUGUAGCGGUGAAAUGCGCAGAUAUCGGGAAGAACACCCGUGGCUAAGGCGGCUCUCUAGUACGGUACUGACGCUGAGACGCGAAAGCGUGGGGAGCGAACAGG